AUACUAUUAUUAUAAUCAGUUUGUAUUAUAUCUCCUUUCCAAGGAGAAGAUCUAGUUGAAUUAGAUAGUAUA
RNAcentral lists this transfer RNA (72 nucleotides) under Taenia pisiformis. RNAcentral describes it as "tRNA-Gly". Lineage: Eukaryota; Metazoa; Platyhelminthes; Cestoda; Cyclophyllidea; Taeniidae. The record is from RNAcentral.